Molecule: ribosomal RNA, 496 nt
Filed under: uncultured bacterium
Lineage: Bacteria
Description: partial 16S ribosomal RNA
Rfam family: Bacterial small subunit ribosomal RNA
Source: RNAcentral
ACGAACGCUGGCGGCGUGCCUAAUACAUGCAAGUAGAACGCUGAAGAGAGGAGCUUGCUCUUCUUGGAUGAGUUGCGAACGGGUGAGUAACGCGUAGGUAACCUGCCUUGUAGCGGGGGAUAACUAUUGGAAACGAUAGCUAAUACCGCAUAACAAUGGAUGACACAUGUCAUUUAUUUGAAAGGGGCAAUUGCUCCACUACAAGAUGGACCUGCGUUGUAUUAGCUAGUAGGUGAGGUAAUGGCUCACCUAGGCGACGAUACAUAGCCGACCUGAGAGGGUGAUCGGCCACACUGGGACUGAGACACGGCCCAGACUCCUACGGGAGGCAGCAGUAGGGAAUCUUCGGCAAUGGGGGCAACCCUGACCGAGCAACGCCGCGUGAGUGAAGAAGGGUUUCGGAUCGUAAAGCUCUGUUGUAAGUCAAGAACGGGUGUGAGAGUGGAAAGUUCACACUGUGACGGUAGCUUACCAGAAAGGGACGGCUAACUACGUG